UAGAAUUAUUUAUUGGUUGUAGCUGGCUCUCCAGGGAGCAUGUGCACACCUUGUCAUCUUUAUAUCUCCACCUGUGCACUUUUUGUAGACCUUCUCAGGUCUAUGUUGCUUCAUUUUACCCCAAUGUAUGUCAAUAGAAUGUUGUGCCUAUGUAAUAUAUA
This 161-nucleotide unclassified non-coding RNA is filed under the name uncultured Cortinarius. RNAcentral's name for it is "sequence contains ITS1". Lineage: Eukaryota; Fungi; Basidiomycota; Agaricomycetes; Agaricales; Cortinariaceae. The record is from RNAcentral.